UACGUAGGGUGCGAGCGUUAAUCGGAAUUACUGGGCGUAAAGCGUGCGUAGGCGGUCCGCAAAGUCUGAUGUGAAAGCCCCGGGCUCAACCUGGGAACUGCAUUGGAAACUAACGGGCUCGAGUGUGGCAGAGGGGGGUGGAAUUCCACGUGUAGCAGUGAAAUGCGUAGAGAUGUGGAGGAACACCGGUGGCGAAGGCGGUUCUCUGGGCAUUACCUGACGCUGAGGAGCGAAAGUGUGGGGAGCGAACAGG
This 253-nucleotide ribosomal RNA is filed under the name uncultured bacterium. RNAcentral describes it as "partial 16S ribosomal RNA". It matches the Rfam family "Bacterial small subunit ribosomal RNA", at positions 524 to 776 of the family's 1533-position model. The record is from RNAcentral.